This 408-nucleotide unclassified non-coding RNA is filed under the name Hevea brasiliensis (rubber tree). The record is from RNAcentral. Lineage: Eukaryota; Viridiplantae; Streptophyta; Magnoliopsida; Malpighiales; Euphorbiaceae.
AGGAUUGGUUACUAUAUCCAAGGGGUCUUAUGAAGUGGGUGAUCCAGAUGUACCUUCAUCUACUUAUGAUGAGUUGAAUAUUCUUCCUAUAGAAGCGACAAAUGUUUUAACAAUGCCAGCAAUGGAGGAGCAAGUUGAGAUUGUGUCCACGGCUGAAGUGUUGGUUGCUAAAUCCAAUCAGCUAGGGCCUAAUGAAGGAGGUGAUUUAUGUUAUAGUUCAGAGGGAAUUGGAGCACUGGGUGCUAGAUCCAAGAAGCCCAAUGAAGUAGAUUAUCCAGAUCUACCAGCAUCUACUUCCAAUGAGUCAAAUAUUCUUCCUGUUGAAACAUCAAAUGUUUUAACAACGCCAGCAAUGGAAAAGCAACUUGAGAUCGCGUCCACAGUUGGUGCAUUGGUUGCUAAAUCCAA